Molecule: ribosomal RNA, 447 nt
Filed under: uncultured bacterium
Lineage: Bacteria
Description: bacterial SSU rRNA
Rfam family: Bacterial small subunit ribosomal RNA
Source: RNAcentral
CGACGAAUCUUCCGCAAUGGGCGAAAGCCUGACGGAGCGAUGCCGCGUGUGGGAUGAAGCGCCUUUGGUGUGUAAACCACUGUCAGGAGAUAGAAACACUGAUCAUCUCCAGAGGAAGGGGCGACUAACUCUGUGCCAGCAGUCGCGGUAAUACAGAGGCCCCGAGCGUUAAUCGGAAUCACUGGGCUUAAAGGGUGCGUAGGCGGACUCGUAAGUGUCGUGUGAAAGCCCACUGCUUAACGGUGGAACCGCACGGCAAACUGCAAGUCUCGAGGAAGGUAGAGGCCGGUAGAACGAUUGGUGGAGCGGUGGAAUGCGUAGAUAUCAAUCGGAAUGCCAAAGGUGAAGACAGCCGGCUGGGCCUUUCCUGACGCUGAGGCACGAAAGCGUGGGGAGCAAACAGGAUUAGAUACCCUUGUAGUCCCUGAGCGGGCUGGCAAGGCGCAU